UGCUAGCCCUGAUGGAAGCGGCAUCCUUUUCUAGUCCUGAGCUUUUUUCAGGACUAGAAAAGAUACAGCGGACAGCAGGAAAUUGC
Molecule: small RNA, 86 nt
Filed under: Flavobacterium xueshanense
Lineage: Bacteria; Pseudomonadati; Bacteroidota; Flavobacteriia; Flavobacteriales; Flavobacteriaceae
Description: Flavo-1 RNA
Rfam family: Flavo-1 RNA
Source: RNAcentral